RNAcentral lists this ribosomal RNA (253 nucleotides) under uncultured bacterium. Its description in RNAcentral is "partial 16S ribosomal RNA". It matches the Rfam family "Bacterial small subunit ribosomal RNA", at positions 524 to 776 of the family's 1533-position model. The record is from RNAcentral.
UACGAAGGGGGCUAGCGUUGUUCGGAAUUACUGGGCGUAAAGCGCACGUAGGCGGAUAUUUAAGUCAGGGGUGAAAUCCCGGGGCUCAACCCCGGAACUGCCUUUGAUACUGGGUAUCUUGAGUAUGGAAGAGGUAAGUGGAAUUCCGAGUGUAGAGGUGAAAUUCGUAGAUAUUCGGAGGAACACCAGUGGCGAAGGCGGCUUACUGGUCCAUUACUGACGCUGAGGUGCGAAAGCGUGGGGAGCAAACAGG